UGGUGAGUAGCCAACUGGUAAGGCAUCGGUUUUUGGUACCGUCAGAUGUAGGUUCGAAUCCUACCUCACCAGCCA
This 75-nucleotide transfer RNA is filed under the name Salipiger sp. PrR003. Its description in RNAcentral is "Yangia sp. PrR003 tRNA-Gln". It matches the Rfam family "tRNA". From Rfam's summary of the family: Transfer RNA (tRNA) molecules are approximately 80 nucleotides in length. Their secondary structure includes four short double-helical elements and three loops (D, anti-codon, and T loops). Further hydrogen bonds mediate the characteristic L-shaped molecular structure. tRNAs have two regions of fundamental functional importance: the anti-codon, which is responsible for specific mRNA codon recognition, and the 3' end, to which the tRNAs corresponding amino acid is attached (by aminoacyl-tRNA synthetases). tRNAs cope with the degeneracy of the genetic code in two manners: having more than one tRNA (with a specific anti-codon) for a particular amino acid; and 'wobble' base-pairing, i.e. permitting non-standard base-pairing at the 3rd anti-codon position. The record is from RNAcentral. Lineage: Bacteria; Pseudomonadati; Pseudomonadota; Alphaproteobacteria; Rhodobacterales; Roseobacteraceae.